Molecule: long non-coding RNA, 933 nt
Filed under: Bemisia tabaci
Lineage: Eukaryota; Metazoa; Arthropoda; Insecta; Hemiptera; Aleyrodidae
Description: lncRNA ENSSSA2NGG001434
Source: RNAcentral
CAGGUUAGUUUUUAUGAGGUUCUUCUACCUGUGGCGAUGAUGUUAGUCUUAUCCUUGAUUCACUCGCAGAUAGUUUCUACACACUCGCUCAACAAAAAACAGGAUGGAGGACAAUCAUCUCUUCUGAAUCGUCGUAGCAAAAGGACUAAACGAAGGUUAUGUCCGCCCUCCAGAAGUAGAUUAAAUAUUUGUUCUGAUUCUAAAUCAUCGCCUGACACUGGCUCAGAGUUAGCUGGCGGUUUAAGUGACUCUGCUAAGUACACCAAACGCACCAGGUCUCGGAACUCUAUCACAGAAGAUUCCCAAACAGUAUUAGUUCGUAGAAGCGUUGUGUGGGACACCAGUCCAGUCAAAACCAAACCCCAAGUCAUCAUCCACCAUGAUGUCGAUGUAGUAGAAGGUGAGGACUUGAGUCGCUGCCCACCUGAGUCUCGACUCAGCAAGGAUGAACGCAAACAACUUGCUGGAAUCGACCGUAUGAAUGUUCCAGACGGGAACGAAGCAGAUCCUGAAGUUCCACCAGACGAUGAUGGAUUUGAGAGUCUAAAUGGAAAUGGGUCUAGUGACAACAACGAUGAAGAUCAAAAAAGCGAGGAGAAUAUGUGUCUAGAGCCAUCAGCCUCGUCUCCCAGUCAUUUGUCCGUGGUGAAAAACUGCUAUCACCGGGAGAAUAGUCCUGACUGUGAUAGUGUUGAUCAAAUUAAACCUGUCAUCAGGAAUAACUUCAAAAGUGCGAAACUCACCGAUGAGAUUUUGGAGGUCUCUGUUUGUGAACCAGCUUGCACCCCAUUAAAAGUGAAAAAUGCUGCUAAAGACAAGUCCACAGAUUCACAUUUUAAUAGUUUGCAAGAUCCCAGUUUUACACAAGAGGUUCCCUAUGAUAUCAGUAAAAAAUGGAAUGUUACAUUAAGGAGGCGACUGUCUUCUCCCUGA